AGUGAACGCUGGCGGUAGGCCUAACACAUGCAAGUCGAACGGCAGCACAGUAAGCGCUUGCUCUUACGGGUGGCGAGUGGCGGACGGGUGAGGAAUACAUCGGCAUCUACUUUUUCGUGGGGGAUAACGUAGGGAAACUUACGCUAAUACAGCAUACGACCUACGGGUGAAAGCAGGGGAUCUUCGGACCUUGCGCGAUUGAAUGAGCCGAUGUCGGAUUAGCUAGUUGGCGGGGUAAAGGCCCACCAAGGCGACGAUCCGUAGCUGGUCUGAGAGGAUGAUCAGCCACACUGGAACUGAGACACGGUCCAGACUCCUACGGGAGGCAGCAGUGGGGAAUAUUGGACAAUGGGCGCAAGCCUGAUCCAGCCAUACCGCGUGGGUGAAGAAGGCCUUCGGGUUGUAAAGCCCUUUUGUUGGGAAAGAAAAGCAGCAGGUUAAUACCCCGCUGUUCUGACGGUACCCAAAGAAUAAGCACCGGCUAACUUCGUG
Molecule: ribosomal RNA, 492 nt
Filed under: uncultured bacterium
Lineage: Bacteria
Description: partial 16S ribosomal RNA
Rfam family: Bacterial small subunit ribosomal RNA
Source: RNAcentral